UUGCCCUACGGGGGGCAGCAGUGGGGAAUAUUGGGCAAUGGGCGCAAGCCUGACCCAGCAACGCCGCGUGAGUGAAGAAGUAAUUCGUUACGCAAAGCUCUAUCAGCAGGGAAGAAAAUGACGGUACCUGACUAAGAAGCCCCGGCUAACUACGUGCCAGCAGCCGCGGUAAUACGUAGGGGGCAAGCGUUAUCCGGAAUUACUGGGUGUAAAGGGAGCGCAGACGGCAGUGCAAGUCUGGAGUGAAAGCCCGUGGCUUAACUACGGGACUGCUCUGGAAACUGUGCAGCUAGAGUGCAGGAGAG
RNAcentral lists this ribosomal RNA (305 nucleotides) under uncultured bacterium. Its description in RNAcentral is "bacterial SSU rRNA". It matches the Rfam family "Bacterial small subunit ribosomal RNA", at positions 334 to 656 of the family's 1533-position model. The record is from RNAcentral.